Molecule: ribosomal RNA, 348 nt
Filed under: Triticum aestivum (bread wheat)
Lineage: Eukaryota; Viridiplantae; Streptophyta; Magnoliopsida; Poales; Poaceae
Description: partial small subunit ribosomal RNA
Source: RNAcentral
AUGUGUAAUAUGCAGGUUUUGGAGACAAGGGAUCACCUAUUCUUUUAUUGCCCCUUCGCACAACUCUGUUGGGCUUAUAUAUGCCCAACCUGGACGCCAACAUACACGGGUAUUCAAGAAGAAAUAAACAACUUAAAGCAGCUGCUGGGCGUGCCAUCUUUCCUCGAGAUCAUUAUUCUUGUCUCAUGGGGAAUUUGGACAACAAGGAAUGACUAAAUCUUCCAGCGAACGCCACCCAGUAUAUACAACUGCAGACGGAAGUUCAAGGAGGAGCUUAAAUGGAUCAGCUACAGGGCGACAAGGCAGGCAUACAGUGGAUUCAAGGACUGGAUUCAGUCCUUCCGAUAG